RNAcentral lists this long non-coding RNA (208 nucleotides) under Gallus gallus (chicken). Lineage: Eukaryota; Metazoa; Chordata; Aves; Galliformes; Phasianidae. The record is from RNAcentral.
CAGGCAGGAAUGGAGUAAGGGCUGAGCCAGGCAGUGCUGGGCGUGCAGGCCUGGGCUGUGGUGGCUGCAGCGGGGGCCGCUGCCGUGGGGGCUGGAUCCUGGGCCUGGAGGGCAGCAGCGGUGUGCCGGGCUGAGGCUGCAGUGGAGGUCUUGGUGGCACUGCCUGCCGCGGUGCUUCCGGUUGCCUUGUGUCAGACUGCGAUUUCAG